RNAcentral lists this long non-coding RNA (2139 nucleotides) under Homo sapiens (human). Its description in RNAcentral is "non-protein coding TEX41:115". Lineage: Eukaryota; Metazoa; Chordata; Mammalia; Primates; Hominidae. The record is from RNAcentral.
AUCUUGAAAACGGAAAAUAAAAACAGCAGACCUAUGAAGGUCGAAGGGGAAGAAAAGCUGUAUCGAUUGUUGAGAUCUGGCGACUUGUUUAAAUUUCAUCAGCCUCACUUCUAUGAACUCUCAGGCCUCACGUGUACCAGCUCUCUGCUCUCCUUUGCCUUGGGACGUUCCAUCCCUGGAAGUUUCCCUGCCCACAUCUUUGUAGAGAGUCCAUUCUCCAAGCUUCAGUGUGUCAUCUGUGAGGACCGUGACCCACCUGGUACAUCGCCUCAGGGCAUUCAUUUCAGGCUCCUUCUAAAUGGCCAAGAGACAACACCAACAUUUUUGUAAUGGCCUGCAAGGCCUUCCGAGAUCUACCUCCUGCAACUCAGCUUCUCCUGUGCUCUCCUUCUGGACUCACUCUGCCUCAGCAACACUGGUCCCUGUUGCCCCACCAAUAUGCCAGGCCAUGAGAGAAGCAGUACCUUAUAAUGGUUCCUUGUUCAAAGCACUCAAUAUUCCUAGGAUGUGGUCUCCCAGCUGACUUCAUAACUGAAUCAUCAGUAAUUAAUUUCAUUGUUCUAUUAGGACUUUACUGAAGACUCUAAGGAGGACCUGUAUCUGUUGGGAUCCUCAGGGCAAGCCACAGAAACAAGCUUUGGAUACUAGAAGCAGAAAAUGGAGAUAUUGAAGACUAUUGUGGAGUUUACUGUGAGCCAGAGAACCAGGCUGGGGGGCUGUAUCACUUAGAAUGAGAUCCAAACUCACACCAUAGUUCCAUCCUUGAGGUUGCCAUGUUGCUGCCACCCCUCCUGCCACCCCACCACUGAAGCUUUGGAUGCUGGAUUCUGGGCACAGCAGGGAGAAGUGUUGCUUAUUACCAUUUUAGUAUGUUUUCUUUCAAGACCUUUUCAAAAUAUACAUACGUAUUUUUAUUUCUAUUCAAAAUGGGAUACAUUUUUGAAGGUUAGCAAUAUAUUGUGAACAUUUUCUUUCCAUGCUCAGAAACAUUUUUCUAUAAUGUAAUUUAUAGUGAUAUAAACUAUCUCAUAGACCUACCAUAGUUUACCUAACAAAUCCCAAAUCAUUUGUGCCAUUUCUAAAUUUUUAUUAUUUUAUGUAAUGCUUUAAUGAACAUCCUUGCAUUUAUAUUUUAUACAAUUUUAGAAGUGGAAUUACUGGUUCAAAAUACAUGGUGAUUUUUAAUUCUUCUGUUGAAUAUUGACAAAUUGCAAUCCUGAGAGUUAUCUUGAAGGAUAGAGUACAUGCCCAGGGUUCUUUUUUAAGAAAUAAUUUGUAAUGUGAAACAGAAUAGGCUAAAUGUUUUUUAUUCUCUUAGUCCUACUCUGUCAUUCUGCAGAGUUUCACUUAUUUGGAUUCAAAUUCUAAUUCCAGCCUACCUCUCUUUUUAUAUAAUUGUUAGGAGGAUUAAAUUAGAUGCAUAAAAUUGCUGCUUACUACAUACAUUGCACAAACUAAAAACUUUUCAAAGGUUAACUGUUUUUCUGGUUUAUUUUUAAGACACAGGUUCUUGCUCUGUUGCCCAGGCUGGAGUGCAGUGGUGUGAUCACGGCUCACUAUAGCCUCAUCCUGCUGCACUGAAGUGAUCCUCUUGCCUCAGCCUCCUGAGUAGCUAGGACUACAGGCACGUGCCACCAUACCCAGCUAUUUUUUUAAAAAUACAUUUUUGUUGAGGCUGGGUCCCCUUUGUUGUCCAGGCUGGUCUUAAGCUCCUGGCCUCAAGCAAUCCUUCCACUUCUACCUCCCAAAGUGUUGAGAUUAGAGGUGUGAGCCACUCCACCUGACCCAAAGGUUAACUAUUAUUAUUGUUAUUAUUAGUCUGUUUUUUUCCAUUCAUUUCCUCAUUAGUCAACUUUUAUUGUUUCAAUGUUAUUUUAUUGUUUUUCAAAGACUCCUUAUAGUCACAAUAUGUACAUAAUAAAUUUUACCCUUUAAGGACACUGAGGUUCCAAAUGAAAAUGAUAUUUUUAAGGUGAAACAAUUAUAGAUAGAAAAACAACUUUUUUUUCUGUGAGUACUAGAUUUCAUAUUAUCCUUAAUGUCUUUCUAGGUAGUAACCAAGUGAUUUCUCAUAAACUGGAAAACAUUAUUCCCACUGAUAUUCUUAAAAACAUUUAGGAUUAAAAAAUGUAUUUUAAA